AAGGAAUUAGGUUAGAGGUUAGACUUCCAUUUUUACACAGUGGCUACAGUGGUUCGAUUCCACUAUUCCUUA
Molecule: transfer RNA, 72 nt
Organism: Cryptococcus amylolentus CBS 6039
Lineage: Eukaryota; Fungi; Basidiomycota; Tremellomycetes; Tremellales; Cryptococcaceae
Rfam family: tRNA
About the family: Transfer RNA (tRNA) molecules are approximately 80 nucleotides in length. Their secondary structure includes four short double-helical elements and three loops (D, anti-codon, and T loops). Further hydrogen bonds mediate the characteristic L-shaped molecular structure. tRNAs have two regions of fundamental functional importance: the anti-codon, which is responsible for specific mRNA codon recognition, and the 3' end, to which the tRNAs corresponding amino acid is attached (by aminoacyl-tRNA synthetases). tRNAs cope with the degeneracy of the genetic code in two manners: having more than one tRNA (with a specific anti-codon) for a particular amino acid; and 'wobble' base-pairing, i.e. permitting non-standard base-pairing at the 3rd anti-codon position.
Source: Rfam